RNAcentral lists this ribosomal RNA (433 nucleotides) under uncultured bacterium. Its description in RNAcentral is "partial 16S ribosomal RNA". It matches the Rfam family "Bacterial small subunit ribosomal RNA", at positions 29 to 507 of the family's 1533-position model. The record is from RNAcentral.
AACGAACGCUGGCGGCAUGCCUAACACAUGCAAGUCGAACGAGACCUUCGGGUCUAGUGGCGCACGGGUGCGUAACGCGUGGGAACCUGCCCUUAGGUUCGGAAUAACUCCCCGAAAGGGGUGCUAAUACCGGAUAAUGUCUUCGGACCAAAGAUUUUUCGCCUUUGGAUGGGCCCGCGUUGGAUUAGCUAGUUGGUAGGGUAAAAGCCUACCAAGGCGACGAUCCAUAGCUGGUCUGAGAGGAUGAUCAGCCACACUGGGACUGAGACACGGCCCAGACUCCUACGGGAGGCAGCAGUGGGGAAUAUUGGACAAUGGGCGAAAGCCUGAUCCAGCAAUGCCGCGUGAGUGAUGAAGGCGUUAGGGUUGUAAAGCUCUUUUACCCGGGAUGAUAAUGACAGUACCGGGAGAAUAAGCUCCGGCUAACUCCGUG